RNAcentral lists this ribosomal RNA (487 nucleotides) under uncultured bacterium. Its description in RNAcentral is "bacterial SSU rRNA". It matches the Rfam family "Bacterial small subunit ribosomal RNA", at positions 28 to 507 of the family's 1533-position model. The record is from RNAcentral.
GAUGAACGCUAGCUACAGGCUUAACACAUGCAAGUCGAGGGGCAGCACAGUGUAGCAAUACAUGGGUGGCGACCGGCGCACGGGUGCGUAACGCGUAUCCAACCUUCCCGAUACUCAGGGAUAGCCUUCCGAAAGGGAGAUUAAUACCUGAUGGUGUUUCACUUUCGCAUGUUAUUGAAACUAAAGAUUUAUCGGUAACGGAUGGGGAUGCGUGACAUUAGAUAGUAGGCGGGGUAACGGCCCACCUAGUCUACGAUGUCUAGGGGGUUCUGAGAGGAAGGUCCCCCACACUGGAACUGAGACACGGUCCAGACUCCUACGGGAGGCAGCAGUGAGGAAUAUUGGUCAAUGGUCGGAAGACUGAACCAGCCAAGUAGCGUGAAGGAUGAAGGUUCUAUGGAUUGUAAACUUCUUUUAUACGGGAAUAAAACCUCCCACGUGUGGGAGCUUGUAUGUACCGUAUGAAUAAGCAUCGGCUAACUCCGUG